AGCAGCCGCGGUAAUUCCAGCUCCAAUAGCGUAUAUUAAAGUUGUUGCAGUUAAAAAGCUUGUAGUUGAAUUUUGGGGUCAGUAGGUCGGUCGUGCCAUUGGUAUGAACUGGUUUUACUGAUUCCUCCCUCUUGAAGAACUGUAAUGCCAUUAAUUUGGUGUUGCAGGGAAUCAGGACUGUUACUUUGAAAAAAUUAGAGUGUUUAAAGCAGGCUUUAGCUUGAAUACAUUAGCAUGGAAUAAUGAAAUAGGACGUUUGAUCCUAUUUUGUUGGUUUCUAGGAUUGACGUAAUGAUUAAUAGGGAUAGUUGGGGGCAUUAGUAUUCAAUUGUCAGAGGUGAAAUUCUUGGAUUUAUUGAAGACUAACUACUGCGAAGGCAUUUGCCAAGGAUGUUUUCAUUAAUCAAGAACGAAAGUUAGGGGAUCGAAGACGAUCAGAUACCGUCGUAGUCUUAACCAUAAACUAUGCCGACUAGGGAUCGGAUGAUGUUAAUUUUUUAAUGACUCAUUCGGCGCCUUACG
This 522-nucleotide ribosomal RNA is filed under the name uncultured Glomeromycotina. RNAcentral's name for it is "SSU rRNA". It matches the Rfam family "Eukaryotic small subunit ribosomal RNA", at positions 569 to 1092 of the family's 1831-position model. Lineage: Eukaryota; Fungi; Glomeromycota. The record is from RNAcentral.